GGACUACCGGGGUAUCUAAUCCUGUUCGCUCCCCACGCUUUCGCGUCUCAGUGUCAGUACCGUCCCAGAGAGCCGCCUUCGCCACGGGUGUUCCUCCUGAUAUCUGCGCAUUCCACCGCUACACCAGGAAUUCCGCUCUCCUCUUCCGGACUCUAGCGAGGAAGUUUCCCACGCACUUCUGCGGUUGAGCCGCAGGCUUUCACGUAAGACUUUCCAAGCCACCUACACGCUCUUUACGCCCAAUGAUUCCGGACAACGCUCGCCCCCUACGUAUUACCGCGGCUGCUGGCAC
RNAcentral lists this ribosomal RNA (292 nucleotides) under uncultured bacterium. Its description in RNAcentral is "partial 16S ribosomal RNA". The record is from RNAcentral.